UGUCGAUGCCGUAGUUUCUGUACUGCGCGUUGCCUCCGCUGAUUAUUAUCAUUUUCCUUUUCGUUGUAUUGCGUGUCGCGUGAAAGAAGAAAACACGGCCAAGUGUGGGCUGUAAUUGAUAGAGCGCCUCGCAUCGCGUCAGCGACUGCCCUUCUCCCUCUCUCCCUCCCGCCCUCCCUGCAGCAGGAGGCCGUGUGCGCAAGAGAAAACACAGCAGCCGUGCACGUGCCUUCGCCGGCCUGGGACAUACCCAGGCAGGCCAAGACACACUUGAGCCCACAUACACAGUUGCAGACGUAGAGGCGCAUCAAACUGUUUCCUCGCUUCUUCUUCCGUCAUCGUCGCGCUGCCAGCUGGCUGCUGCUGCUGCUCUCUCGUCUUAUCCUGCGUUGCGGGGGGUGGGGGCGCGGAUGGAGGCCAUUAUCGAGAAGACGCAGAAGGAGCUGGGGGCUGUGAUCCAGGCUCCGAGGCUCACGGACAAACUGCUGAGCCGGCCACCAUUCCGGUACAUCCACGAUAUUGUCAUGUCCUUCAUGAAGGCGACCGGCUUCCCUGACGGGCUCUUCGACGCGGAUCAACUCGACAGUGCCAAGGUGGCGGAUAAGAAGGCCAAGGUACAGUUUCUGGAGAAGCUUAUCGCCGCUGUCGAGGCUGCCACUGGCACCCCUGUCACCGCACGCCCCUCCAAGAUCGUCGCCGGCGAAGAGGCGGAGAAGACGAACGAGCUCUUCCAGCAACUUGCCCAGUGCGCCGCGCUGUCGUCGGCGCAAAAGGCGGCGGCGGUGCGGAAGGUGAGCGGCGGCGGCGAACCAGCGCCUGCAGCCGCCGCUGCCCCGGCGCCGUCGUCGAAGAAGGAGUCGGGCGAAACCAAGGCACCGCUGCAGGAGACCGAGGAGGAGCGCACGAAGCGGCGCGAGGAGGAACGCCGUCGCCGCCACGAGGAGAAGAAGCGGGAGGCGGAGAAGGCGAAGGAGAGGGCAGCGGCGGAGCCGCCAAGCCGAACCAAGGAGGAGACCACCAACCAGGCCGCCGCGACCGCUGCCUCUGGGGAGACGGAGCGGCACCGCCACCGCGAGGAACGGAAGCGCGAGUCGACAGGAGCCGUCGACACCGCGACGACGAGCGCGCGCAAAGCGCCGCCGCGCCCGAAGCCGACGCACGAAGUCAUCGAGGCGCAGAAUGCGGCGGCGGAUGCGACGCCGGCGGUCGGUGUCAUUCGCGAAGGCAAGCGUGGCAAGGCAGACACGGAGAGCGAGGACGAAGACAAGGAGGACUGGCAGAAGGUGGCGGAGCAGUACGAGGUGAAGCCGGCGGCCCGGACCGCGGCCGUGGCCGAGGACGCUGACGUUAAGGGUCUGCUUGGGCAGCAGGCGCUCAAGGCGAAGCGUGACCAGGAGGCUGUCGCCCGCCGCGCUGAGGUGGGCGGCGACGGCGCCGCUGCUGCCGCCCCUGCGGGUGGCGGCAUCAUCAUCCACAGCAGCAAGAACACCGCCUCCCGCGGUGGCGGCAGUCACGCGCUUGGCGACAGCGACCUCCACCAGCUACGCGAGCAGCUGCAGCUUCUCACCAAAGCGUCGAAUCCACUCGGCAAGUUCCUGGAGGUCAUUCACGACGACAUCGAUAGCAUGACUCGCGAGCUGGAUAUGUGGCGCAGCGAGUCCCGCAACCAGGCUCUGGCCGCCGCGGAAGCUCGUCGACAGACUGAGGAGAGCCUGCAGGAGAUCCACGCGAACCUGCAGAACUUAGAGGAUGCCAUCAGCGACCAGGUGCUCAAGACGAACAACCUGCGGCAGACUAUUCUCGCCAACGACGCCGCCAUGGAAGUAAUGGCAAAGACCAUCGUCAACCCGGACAUGGCAGCACAGUAGAAAAGGGAGGGAGGCGAUGGCACUAUCCGUGCACCCUGCCCUCGCCGGUCUCCGCCUGUGCCUGCCUCUCCCCACAUGGCUGCAGCUUGUUGCACGCACGCACGCACCUUCCACGCUGCCUUGGAUCAUGUGCGUGCGUACAUCCUAGCGUGUUUCUGAGAUUUUCCUCGCUUCAAAUGUAUAGAUUCUUUGCACAACGGCCGUGCGCGUACAGGGGGAGGGGGAGGGGCUAGACCACGUAGGGCGGCGGUGACGGUGCCCUAAUCGGUGCAGAUGUGUAUGCGCGUGCGUGUACAUGUGUUUGGUGUGUGGCGCAGGCACUGAGUGGUGCCGGAGCUUUUCUCUCCAUCCUGUACGUGGCUUUUGUGGUUGUAUGCAUGCCUCCUCCCGUCCGCCGGUCUCGGAUGACGCGCGCGCCUCCGCGUUUCGCUCUCUUUUCUUUGAGUACGACCAUGCUGAUGUGUUUCAUUCAUGUCUUGUGCUCUUCCUGCGAUGCUGUCCUCAAACACGUCUUGCCACGCUCCCAUUCGGACCACCGUGUUUUUUUUGUUUUUCUUACACCGGUUUGCCUCGCACCUGUGGGCGCGUGUGGGUGGUGCUCUUGCCACUGAGCUUUCACGCGCGUACCACCGCCUUUGCCUCGACGCACACACACACACACAGAG
Molecule: unclassified non-coding RNA, 2533 nt
Filed under: Leishmania donovani
Lineage: Eukaryota; Euglenozoa; Kinetoplastea; Trypanosomatida; Trypanosomatidae
Description: gene:LdHU3.21.2250(CDS-product:Microtubule-bindin g_protein_MIP-T3_putative)
Source: RNAcentral